GCGGGACAACUUGCCCGGCCCGGACACAGGAAUGAUUGACAGAUUGAGAGCUCUUUCUUGAUUCUGUGGGUGGUGGUGCAUGGCCGUUCUUAGUCGGUGGAGUGAUUUGUCUGGUUAAUUCCGAUAACGGACGAGACUCUGACCUGCUAACUAGUUUCGCUUGCUACCUUUUAGGUCAGGUGGGAACUUCUUAGAUGGAUUGGCGCCUUUUUGAAUGCGCAUGAAAUAGAGCUAUAA
This 237-nucleotide ribosomal RNA is filed under the name uncultured marine eukaryote. RNAcentral's name for it is "partial 18S ribosomal RNA". It matches the Rfam family "Eukaryotic small subunit ribosomal RNA", at positions 1205 to 1456 of the family's 1831-position model. The record is from RNAcentral.